AAGUCGUAACAAGGUUUCCGUAGGUCAGUAAAACUCUAGAAACCCUUAUAUAUCGGCCGUCCCAAGACUAACAUGUUAACAGGUGAACCUGCGGAAGGAUCAUUACUGAGAUAGGGUCCUCCGGGGCCCGAACCUCCAACCCUAAAUCUACAAUACUCUGUUGCUUCGGGGAGGUCAACCCUCUGGCCUUACGGCCUCGGGCGCUCCCCAGAAGAAUCAACCAAAAACCCUUUGAAAUGAGCAUCUAAGCCGAAUUUUAAUAUUCAAAA
This 269-nucleotide unclassified non-coding RNA is filed under the name plant metagenome. RNAcentral describes it as "partial contains small subunit ribosomal RNA and internal transcribed spacer 1". The record is from RNAcentral.